GACGAACGCUGGCGGCGUGCUUAACACAUGCAAGUCGAGCGGUAAGGCCCUUUCGGGGGUACACGAGCGGCGAACGGGUGAGUAACACGUGGGUGACCUGCCCUCAGCUCUGGGAUAAGCCUGGGAAACCGGGUCUAAUACUGGAUAUGACUCCAUGACGCAUGUUGUGGGGUGGAAAGCCUUGUGCGGCUGAGGAUGGGCCCGCGGCCUAUCAGCUUGUUGGUGGGGUGANGGCCCUACCAAGGCGACGACGGGUAGCCGGCCUGAGAGGGCGACCGGCCACACUGGGACUGAGACACGGCCCAGACUCCUACGGGAGGCAGCAGUGGGGAAUCUUGCGCAAUGGGCGAAAGCCUGACGCAGCGACGCCGCGUGAGGGAUGACGGCCUGG
Molecule: ribosomal RNA, 391 nt
Filed under: uncultured bacterium
Lineage: Bacteria
Description: bacterial SSU rRNA
Rfam family: Bacterial small subunit ribosomal RNA
Source: RNAcentral